This 592-nucleotide ribosomal RNA is filed under the name uncultured bacterium. RNAcentral's name for it is "partial 16S ribosomal RNA". It matches the Rfam family "Bacterial small subunit ribosomal RNA", at positions 355 to 1375 of the family's 1533-position model. The record is from RNAcentral.
UGGGGAAUUUUGGACAAUGGGCGAAAGCCUGAUCCAGCAAUGCCGCGUGUGUGAAGAAGGCCUUCGGGUUGUAAAGCACUUUUGUCCGGAAAGAAAUCCUUGGCUCUAAUACAGUCGGGGGAUGACGGUACCGGAAGAAUAAGCACCGGCUAACUACGUGCCAGCAGCCGCGGUAAUACGUAGGGUGCAAGCGUUAAUCGGAAUUACUGGGCGUAAAGCGUGCGCAGGCGGUUUGCUAAGACCGAUGUGAAAUCCCCGGGCUCAACCUGGGAACUGCAUUGGUGACUGGCAGGCUAGAGUAUGGCAGAGGGGGGUAGAAUUCCACGUGUAGCAGUGAAAUGCGUAGAGAUGUGGAGGAAUACCGAUGGCGAAGGCAGCCCCCUGGGCCAAAUACUGACGCUCAUGCACGAAAAGCGUGGGGGAGCAAAACAGGAUUAGAUACCCCUGGUAGUCCACGCCCUAAAACGAUGUCAACUAGUUGUUGGGGAUUCAUUUCCUUAGUAACGUAGCUAACGCGUGAAGUUGACCGCCUGGGGAGUACGGUCGCAAGAUUAAAAACUCAAAGGAAUUGACGGGGUCAUAGCUGUUUCCU